This 261-nucleotide ribosomal RNA is filed under the name uncultured archaeon. RNAcentral describes it as "partial 16S ribosomal RNA". It matches the Rfam family "Archaeal small subunit ribosomal RNA", at positions 748 to 1008 of the family's 1478-position model. The record is from RNAcentral.
UAGCCGUAAACGAUACUCGCUAGGUGUCGGCCCCGGUGCGACCGUUGUCGGUGCCGUAGGGAAGCCGUGAAGCGAGCCACCUGGGAAGUACGGCCGCAAGGCUGAAACUUAAAGGAAUUGGCGGGGGAGCACCACAACGGGUGGAGCUUGCGGUUUAAUUGGAUUCAACGCCGGAAAUCUUACCGGGACAGACAGCAACAUGAAGGCCAGGCUGAAGACUUUGCCGGAUUAGCUGAGAGGAGGUGCAUGGCGUGUGACUGU